GGUCAUUUAGAGGAAGUAAAAUUCGUAACAAGGUUUCCGAAGUGAACCUGCGGAAGGAUCAAUUUUGUUUAAAACUUGAACAGGGCUGUUGCUGGCCCUCAACUGAGGGUGUUGUGCACGCCUUGUCUCAUCUUUAUUUCUCCAACUUGUGCACAUUUUGUAGAUCCCUGGGAUGCCUUUUUAUGAAUUAUGGUUCGAGUUGGGACUGCUGUUGCUUUGCUCUUUGAAAGAGGCCAGCUCUUCCUUUGCAUCUCCAGGGUCUAUGUCAAUCCUUCACAACCCCUAGAAUGUGUUUAGAAUGUUGAUAAAAAAAAGUGAAAUAUAAUACAACUUUCAGCAACGGAUCUCUUGGCUCUCGCAUCGAUGAAGAACGCAGCGAAAUGCGAUAAGUAAUGUGAAUUGCAGAAUUCAGUGAAUCAUCGAAUCUUUGAACGCAUCUUGCGCUCCUUGGUAUUCCGAGGAGCAUGCCUGUUUGAGUGUCAUUUAACUUAUCAACCACUUCAGAUUCUGGAUGUGGCUUGGAUGUGGGGGAAUAUCUUUGCAGGCCUUUUUUUGCAAAAGAAGGGUCAGCUCCUCUGAAAUGUAUUAGUGGCAUCUGAGCUGCUACUGUAGGUGUGAUAACUAUCUAUGCCUUCGGUAUGCUGCAUGAGACAGAUUGUGCUGCUUAAAACUUGGAAAAAAACCUUUGACAAACUUGACCUCAAAUCAGGUAGGACUACCCGCUGAACUUAAGCAUAUCAAUAAGCGGAGGAAAAGAAACUAACAAGGAUUCCCCU
RNAcentral lists this ribosomal RNA (776 nucleotides) under uncultured Cortinariaceae. RNAcentral describes it as "eukaryotic LSU rRNA". The stretch from base 329 to 482 matches the Rfam family "5.8S ribosomal RNA". The record is from RNAcentral. Lineage: Eukaryota; Fungi; Basidiomycota; Agaricomycetes; Agaricales; Cortinariaceae.